UUUGCCUGUCUGUCUCUGCCCAUCCGAAAAUUAUGACAAAAUUUGAAUAAUUCUGGCAUUUCCUUCUUUCAGCACAAACAAACAACCUACUCAACAGAUCACAAGAACGAGAUUCAGACCAUUUGAUAAAAUAUCAGAUUCUGGUUUACAAUAUGUCAAACAUUGCUCUGGUAUUUCUGUCUGCCCUGCUCAUUAACUGGGCAUUUCCUCCUUCAACUGCUGUGGGUCGACUAAGAAAAUUCUACAUAAUAAACAGAAAAAUGAUUAGACCAACUGCUGAGAAAGAAUGCAGAAUAAACUACACUGGCCUCGUCACAGUCUAUGACCAACAGGAC
Long non-coding RNA from Rhinichthys klamathensis goyatoka, 335 nucleotides. RefSeq lists it as uncharacterized. The transcript is spliced from 3 exons. Lineage: Eukaryota; Metazoa; Chordata; Actinopteri; Cypriniformes; Leuciscidae. The record is from RefSeq and is a predicted model, not a curated record.